UUAAGUGAAAGCUCAGCUGGUAGAGCUCGUGGCUUUUAACCACGUGGUCGUGGGUUCGAUUCCCACCGACGGCGUUUAAU
Non-coding RNA from Macadamia integrifolia, 80 nucleotides. The record is from the annotation of a RefSeq genome assembly. Lineage: Eukaryota; Viridiplantae; Streptophyta; Magnoliopsida; Proteales; Proteaceae.